This is a non-coding RNA of Glossina palpalis gambiensis, 83 nucleotides long. NCBI's taxonomy places the organism in Eukaryota, Metazoa, Arthropoda, Insecta, Diptera, Glossinidae. The record is from Rfam.
CCUUCGAUAGCUCAGUUGGUGGAGCAAUGGUCAUUGUGAAAAAUAAAUGGCCAUGGUCGUUGGUUCGAGUCCAACUCGAAGGG